This 243-nucleotide long non-coding RNA is filed under the name Pan troglodytes (chimpanzee). RNAcentral's name for it is "long non-coding RNA NONPTRT014649". Lineage: Eukaryota; Metazoa; Chordata; Mammalia; Primates; Hominidae. The record is from RNAcentral.
GCACAAAAGAUUAAAAUGUUCAAGAAAUCACACCUGUUAAUCUUUUCCAUUAUGGAUUUUACUUAUUCAUUUUUACUUUUGGUUGUAUUUAGAGACAGGGUCUCAUUCUGCUGCCCAGGCUGGGGUGCCGUGCCAUGAUCAUAGCUCACUGUAGCCCCAUCCUGGGCUCAAAUGAUCCUCUCGUCUCAGCCUCGGUAUGAGCCACCACACCCAGCCCCAUUAUGGAUUUUAAACUUAGGGUUG